Molecule: small RNA, 182 nt
Filed under: uncultured Prevotella sp.
Lineage: Bacteria; Pseudomonadati; Bacteroidota; Bacteroidia; Bacteroidales; Prevotellaceae
Description: Bacteroidales-1 6S-Bacteroidales RNA suggested
Rfam family: Bacteroidales-1 6S-Bacteroidales RNA suggested
Source: RNAcentral
CGUUUCGAUUCGAUUGGGAUACUCAUCAAAUUAAUACGAAAACCGGGUCGUUCUUUAGUCUAUGGCGGGCCAUAUCAUUCGUUUAGGCGAGGAAAUUCUUCGGAAUCCGGUGGAUUACAAAAACUAAAGGUACACUCAAAUGUUAAAACUCGGAGUUUUCAUCACAUCGUCGAGCGGUCCCU